ACGCUCGACACCUACGAGAGGCAGCAGUGGGGAAUAUUGCACAAUGGGGGAAACCCUGAUGCAGCGACGCCGCGUGGAGGAAGAAGGUCUUCGGAUUGUAAACUCCUGUUGUUGGGGAAAAGAGGAUGGUACCCAACAAGGAAGUGACGGCUAACUACGUGCCAGCAGCCGCGGUAAUCUGAGCGGGCUGGCAAGGC
Molecule: ribosomal RNA, 197 nt
Filed under: uncultured bacterium
Lineage: Bacteria
Description: partial 16S ribosomal RNA
Rfam family: Bacterial small subunit ribosomal RNA
Source: RNAcentral